GAUGAACGCUGGCGGCGUGCCCAAUACAUGCAAGUCGAGCGAACAGACGAGGAGCUUGCUCCUCUGACGUUAGCGGCGGACGGGUGAGUAACACGUGGAUAACCUACCUAUAAGACUGGGAUAACUUCGGGAAACCGGAGCUAAUACCGGAUAAUAUAUUGAACCGCAUGGUUCAAUAGUGAAAGACGGUUUUGCUGUCACUUAUAGAUGGAUCCGCGCCGCAUUAGCUAGUUGGUAAGGUAACGGCUUACCAAGGCGACGAUGCGUAGCCGACCUGAGAGGGUGAUCGGCCACACUGGAACUGAGACACGGUCCAGACUCCUACGGGAGGCAGCAGUAGGGAAUCUUCCGCAAUGGGCGAAAGCCUGACGGAGCAACGCCGCGUGAGUGAUGAAGGUCUUCGGAUCGUAAAACUCUGUUAUUAGGGAAGAACAAAUGUGUAAGUGACUAUGCACGUCUUGACGGUACCUAAUCAGAAAGCCACGGCUAACUACGUG
RNAcentral lists this ribosomal RNA (497 nucleotides) under uncultured bacterium. RNAcentral's name for it is "partial 16S ribosomal RNA". It matches the Rfam family "Bacterial small subunit ribosomal RNA", at positions 28 to 507 of the family's 1533-position model. The record is from RNAcentral.